This 334-nucleotide ribosomal RNA is filed under the name uncultured eukaryote. Its description in RNAcentral is "partial 18S ribosomal RNA". It matches the Rfam family "Eukaryotic small subunit ribosomal RNA", at positions 1470 to 1796 of the family's 1831-position model. The record is from RNAcentral.
CCCUUAGAUGUUCUGGGCCGCACGCGCGCUACAAUGAGGUGCUCAGCGCGCUUUUCCCCCUCCGAAAGGAGCGGGUAACCGUUUGAAACCCCUUCUCGAUUGGGAUCGGGGGUUGCAAUUAUUCCCCGUGAACGAGGAAUUCCUAGUAAGCGCGAGCCAUUAGCUCGCGUUGAUUACGUCCCUGCCCUUUGUACACACCGCCCGUCGCUACUACCGAUUGAAUGAUCCAGUGAGGGUAUUGGACUGGCGCCUCGAGUCUUCCUCGCGAAGACUCUCGACGGUCGACGGAAAGAUAUCCGAACUUGGUCAUUUAGAGGAAGUAAAAGUCGUAACA